AUACUUACCUUAAGACGUCAGUGGAGAUCAAGAAGUCCGGCUGACCUAGUAUGCCUUUUUAAAGGAUGCUCCACAGUUAGAGGUCUCUACCUUAUCAUUUGAUGAGAUAGCAGUCCUCUCACGAUAUUUUUGGUGUGAGUUCCUUUGCAAUCCUCACUUAUUUGCGGAAGGUGUGCUUGCUGACGUUUCGUUCUCUCGUCGCCCAUCGGUUGGGCUGAGUUCUCUUUGAGAUCUUGGCCUACGGUGGGAGGCCCUUUAUUUCUUCUGCCUGGAGAAGUAGCGUGCUGAUUACAACUCAGCAUUGGGAGAAUUGGGAUUUUUAGUGCCAUAGGGGUUUGUACAUAAUUGGAUGAUUCCGAGAACUUGUUUCCUGCGAUUACUACUUCGGUGGGCAUUGUUAGGGAACUCGUGCUUGAAGAAGGGAUCCAUGGUACAUAUCCUGGCAUUAGAGGUCUUGAUAGAAACGGGUGGGUCUUACAAUUUUUGAUGUC
This is a small nuclear RNA of Eremothecium sinecaudum, 491 nucleotides long. NCBI's taxonomy places the organism in Eukaryota, Fungi, Ascomycota, Saccharomycetes, Saccharomycetales, Saccharomycetaceae. The record is from RefSeq and is a predicted model, not a curated record.